UCAACGGGCAGGAAUUUCUGAAGCUGCUCUGCCGAAACCGUCUGUAUGCCCUAGGAGGAUGUUGUGGCGUUGUAUCGCACAUUAGAGACUGGUAGAGACUGGUAAUCAUGGGGAUGAGAAGCCUCAGCCACAGGUGUUGAUGACCCCUCCUGCGAGCUGUGACUUGGAGCCGGCGUGAACUCAGCCCGCAGGCAGGCAUUCCCUUCUGGCUUUGUGUGAGAGCAUGGCAGCUAAAAGUGAUGGGCACCGUUUUUACGGAGCGCGUCCUGGUGUGAUUUCUCAUUUCCACGAACAGCAAAGGUCGUGGCCUCACUGCACGCUUGGCUGCCUUCAUCCCUGUGUGAGACCAAGAGGUGCCCGUUGUCUUCCUGAGCUCCUCCAAGUCUCUUUCUCCGUGCUGCACCCUAGGGAGACUCACAGCAGUUUCUCCAGAAUCAGGAGCAAUGAGUGCAGGUUGCCCCAAUGAAGAAGAGUUAGUGAGAGGAGGCCUCACCUGGUACUGGACUGCUUGGCAUAAAAACAACAAUACACUGUUGUUAUUUAGUGCACCUGAUGUGAUAGUCCUUACAGCCAUUCUUUGCUUCAGUCGUUUACAAGCCCUGAUUUCAGUCCAAAACAAGCUUCCUUGAAAUAAAAUAAUCAUUUUCCAGUCUUCCUGUAGAAGCCAAAAGUAUUUUAAGUUGGCCUGGUCUGGCCUAAAUACAAGGUGGGGAGGGGGUCGGUAUGUUGGGGACAUUUUAGUAAUGAGAGGAAGAAUGUGAAAGGAAGGAUUAAACCCGGUGUUUUAUGUGUGUUCAUUGAGUCAAUUUAUAAGGUGCCUUUUGCAAAAUAUCUUGAGCGCUGCAUGAAAAACCACAAAGCAAAAUAUUUUAAAAAUCUGGACGCAAAGCCAACAUGUCCCAGAGUACAGCCAGGCAGCGGAGGAGAACCUGGCACCAGGCGAAGUUCUCUAACCACUGGGCACCAGCAGAAGGACAUCCGUGGCUGUGGGGCAAGUCUUGGAAGAGAGGUGGUGAUAAGAAUUAUGAAUCCCUGUCUUCGUUGGGAUCCUGAUUGAGAAGCAUGGGGCAGUGGCACCCACAUGGUGUGAGAAAGGCAGCACCACCUGGCUUUCAGCAUCUCCUUCUUGCCUGGUCCACUUUGGAGCGCAAGGGCUUGGAUCUUGAAGGCAGAUUCCCUGGAAAAGCUGCAAUUUCCCCAGCCUGCCAGCUGUAAGAAGGAGCAGAUCCACCCAAGGUUCAGAAUUGGGCUGUACGUGCUGCAGGCUUGGAGAGUCGACAAUGCCAGAGGAAACCGUGUACUCAUCUGCUAUUACAUGCCUGUCGUGUCCAGACUCCUGGCUCUCUUAGGGGUUUUUGCAAAAUCCCAAUGCCUGCAAUGAAGGCUGGCAAGGAAGAGGCGAGCUCAUUAGCCCGGCUCCAUGUGUGUAAGAGGAACCAGCAAGGUCCAGAGCUACGAGCCAGGAACAAGCAGUGGUGCUUGGGCAGAAGAUCCCAGCAGGGGUCCUGCCUGUGGGCUGCAUACUGCUGCUUGUGUAUAAAUGUAUAAACGUGCCAAAGAAACGCAGAGACUGGCUGCCACAGGAGUGUCCUGCUGGGGGAACCCACCAGCCGGGUUCCAGGUCUCUGCAGGGCCGCACCAGCACGGGAGGCCUCACAGCUUUACCUCAGUGUGAGACCACCCAGCUCACCUCCUCCCACAGGUGGUGUGCUUUGAAGCCCACCAUCGAAUCCCCUCAGCUGAGGUCCUGCGUCUUUGUGCCAGGUUCUUAGCUGAGCACCGUUAUCAGUCGAGGGGCCGUGAUGCUCACCAGGGGACGUUCAUCCUUCCUGAGGAGCUACCAGGCAGCUAACAGAAGCGCUUUCACACAGGCCUGGUCCCUGCCUUUCUGCUGUGCUGUUGCUGAGGAGGGCCAGGGCUGUGUCUGGAGGCAGAAGGGCAAAGCUGGCGCUGCUCCAAGGUGCCCCAUGAGUGGGAGCUGCCCCCAUCCCUGAGCAGAGGUGGGACAGAGCCUGUCUGAGACCAGGGGAGCUGGGGACCUGCAAGCGCUGUGUCCCCUGCUCCUGGCUGCGUCUCCCUGUGUGCCAGCCCCAUCUCCAGAAGAGACUCAGACCUGAGAGAGGUGUGAACGCACUACCAGGGCACUGGGGAAGUUCUUGCUUUAGAAACAGAUACGGGGCCAAAGGCAGCAUGGCCCCCUGUGUUCCCUGGUCCAGGAACAGCUGCUGCUUCCCAACAGCCAGCAGACUGCAAGGGCGUGGGGUUUCCUUUGUGUUAGGGGUAAAUUUUGGUGCACCUUCAAAUAUUUCCAUUGCCCUCGGAGAGCUCUGUGCUCCGGGCUGAGAUCUGAAUGGUCCGUCUUGUCCCCUGCCAAUAUGAGGCUGUUCCCUGUAUUUUUUCCAGUGCUUGUUUUAUUCGUCCCAUGAGGCAAAUAAAAUUACUUCCCCUAGGAGGCUUUGACACAGGCAGCUAGAGACCAGCAGCUGGAGUCUUUUCUUGCUACGUACUCGCACCACUCUUUCCUUUGCCUUCAUCCUGUUCCAUUGUAGCACUUUCCGUGGGCUUGUGUCAGCAAUCCCGGCUCCUCACGGGGCUGCAGCCCCUUUCUGCUCCGCUCCCGCGUGCAGUGUUGUUACACAAAGCAACAUCGCAGCAUGGUGCCGAGGAAAGAGCUGUUUUCUCUCCUGAGUAGAUUCUCCAGAGUUGUUAUUACUUUUCCAACAGCAAAUACAAAGCAAGUGGAAAUGUUGGCUGAUGCUGCUAAUAAAAUUCUUGAGCAUCUA
This is a long non-coding RNA of Cygnus olor (mute swan), 2783 nucleotides long. RefSeq lists it as uncharacterized. The record is from RefSeq and is a predicted model, not a curated record. NCBI's taxonomy places the organism in Eukaryota, Metazoa, Chordata, Aves, Anseriformes, Anatidae. The transcript is spliced from 6 exons.